RNAcentral lists this long non-coding RNA (615 nucleotides) under Cyanistes caeruleus (blue tit). Its description in RNAcentral is "lncRNA (ENSCCEG00000010907.1)". Lineage: Eukaryota; Metazoa; Chordata; Aves; Passeriformes; Paridae. The record is from RNAcentral.
GACUAUUUAGGAUGGAAUGCAGGAAAAGGCAGCCAUUUAAUGAAUUGAAAAAUUUCCCCAGCAUUCUGUGUCCAACUGUUUGCUCAGUGAGAUAAGAAAAGUGCUAUAGCUGUGAGUAAAUAUUCCAGGCUUUCAGGAAAUACUGAAGAGUUGUUGCAGAAUGACACAAUGAGGGAUUUGGGAACAGAGCACAUUUCUGCCAGCACUGACCAGGGUCAGAGGUGAAGAUGAUGAAGUAGGAUCAAAAAUGAAGGAGAGGAUGCUCAGCAGUGAUAACUCCAGAUCUCAUGGACAACAGGAGCAAAACCCUAUCAUGCAAGAAGUGGACACCAUCACCUCUGGGCCAGGUUUUAAUGCAACACAGCAGAGGAGAGCAGAGACUCUUCUAGGUCAGAAGAUGAUCUUUUCUAAACAAUUUACCACUAGCAAAGCCCACACCUUUUUUUCUAUUAAUCAAUAUAAAUGUUUUCUCUUCAUAAAGACUGUAAACCUAAAAUUUAAGUGGUCAGAAAGGAAGCACUGAAUGUUGAAAAACAGCUUCAUUUUCUCAGUGAAGCUGGUGAAAUUUACUUCUAAAAUACCCAGCUUUUGACGAAGAUAAAUUGAUGCAAAAUC